This 303-nucleotide ribosomal RNA is filed under the name uncultured bacterium. Its description in RNAcentral is "partial 16S ribosomal RNA". It matches the Rfam family "Bacterial small subunit ribosomal RNA", at positions 507 to 807 of the family's 1533-position model. The record is from RNAcentral.
AGCAGCAGCCGCGGGAAUACGAAGGGGGCUAGCGUUGCUCGGAAUGACUGGGCGUAAAGGGCGCGUAGGCGGCGAUCAAAGUCAGGCGUGAAAUUCCUGGGCUCAACCUGGGGGCUGCGCUUGAUACUUGGUUGCUUGAGUGGGGAAGAGGGUCGUGGAAUUCCCAGUGUAGAGGUGAAAUUCGUAGAUAUUGGGAAGAACACCGGUGGCGAAGGCGGCGACCUGGUCCUUGACUGACGCUGAGGCGCGAAAGCGUGGGGAGCAAACAGGAUUAGAGACCCGCGUAGUCCCUGUCUCUUAUAC